RNAcentral lists this long non-coding RNA (615 nucleotides) under Chloebia gouldiae (Gouldian finch). RNAcentral's name for it is "Erythrura gouldiae (Gouldian finch) lncRNA (ENSEGOG00005004729.1)". Lineage: Eukaryota; Metazoa; Chordata; Aves; Passeriformes; Passeridae. The record is from RNAcentral.
UCCUUUAAGGGUGGGGGAUACAGGUAACCAGGACUUAGUGUUCACAGCCAAGCGUUAGGGAGGGUUGGCUGAAGUGGGAAUGAAGUAAGACCAAGAUUAGGAAGUUUUUUGGGAUUUGUUUUGUAACAGGAGCUCAUGCAGAGGGCUGAGGUCAUGGUUCUGGUGCAUCCAGACUGGGGAUGGAUUUUGAGUUUCACAAAUAAUAGCUUUUUGCAUCUCUGUUUCUUCACCAGAUACAAUUCAGGGGAUCUUUUCUUGCGUCCCCUGAGCCCUGAUCUGUCCAUAACAGACCUUUUCCUCCAAAACCUCCUGAAGUUUUGAAGGGCAGCUGUGAAAUGAAGAGGAGAUGCUUAAUUUCAUUCUACUGCAGCAGCUCAGCAGCACGAAGACAGCGCUGCCCUGGGCUGCGUGCUCCUUACCUUGGGUGGGAGGAGACCCAGGUGGUGGAAGAUGUGACCCUCAGGAUGCAGACAGCAGCAGGAAUCCCCCGGGAGCCGAGCGAGCGGCCGGCGCGGGGCGGAGGAGCAGAGGCUGCCCUUUGCCCACUGGCCCAUGUGGAAGUGGACUUUGGAAGUGGCAACAGGGAGCAGAGGAAGGGCCCCGGCGGCCUCUGAG